Molecule: transfer RNA, 76 nt
Filed under: Candidatus Aminicenantes bacterium ADurb.Bin147
Lineage: Bacteria; Candidatus Aminicenantota
Also listed under: 2 other names
Description: tRNA-Ala
Rfam family: tRNA
About the family: Transfer RNA (tRNA) molecules are approximately 80 nucleotides in length.
Source: RNAcentral
GGGCGUUUAGCUCAGCUGGGAGAGCGCAGCGUUCGCAUCGCUGAGGCCGGGGGUUCGAAUCCCCCAACGUCCACCA